RNAcentral lists this unclassified non-coding RNA (372 nucleotides) under uncultured Prolixibacteraceae bacterium. RNAcentral's name for it is "contains 16S-23S intergenic spacer region". The record is from RNAcentral. Lineage: Bacteria; Pseudomonadati; Bacteroidota; Bacteroidia; Marinilabiliales; Prolixibacteraceae.
UCUCACCUUACGGUGGCAGUCCCGCUAGAGUCCCCGCCUUGACGCGCUGGCAACUAACAGUAAGGGUUGCGCUCGUUAUGGGACUUAACCCGACACCUCACGGCACGAGCUGACGACAACCAUGCAGCACCUUGAAGAGUGUCCGAAGAAAACCACCUUUCGGCAGCUGUCACUCCCCAUUUAAGCCCAGGUAAGGUUCCUCGCGUAUCAUCGAAUUAAACCACAUGUUCCUCCGCUUGUGCGGGCCCCCGUCAAUUCCUUUGAGUUUCAACCUUGCGAUCGUACUCCCCAGGUGGAUCACUUAUUGCUUUCGCUCAGCCGCUUACUGUAUAUCGCAAACAGCGAGUGAUCAUCGUUUACGGCGUGGACUAC